GACGAACGCUGGCGGCGUGCUUAACACAUGCAAGUCGAACGGAAAGGCGCUGAGUUUGUGGGGUGCUCGAGUGGCGAACGGGUGAGUAACACGUGAGUAAACUGCCCUUGACUUUGGGAUAACUUCAGGAAACUGGGGCUAAUACCGGAUAGGAGCUCCUGAUGCAUGGGGGGGGUUGGAAAGUUUCGGCGGUUGGGGAUGGACUCGCGGCUUAUCAGCUGGUUGGGGGGGUAGUGGCUUACCAAGGCUUUGACGGGUAGGCGGCCUGAGAGGGUGACCGGCCACAUUGGGCCUGAGAUACGGCCCAGACUCCUACGGGAGGCAGCAGUGGGGAAUAUUGCACAAUGGGCGGAAGCCUGAUGCAGCAACGCCGCGUGCGGGAUGACGUGCUUCGGGUUGUAAACCGCUUUCGCCUGUGCCGAAGUGUGCGUGACGGUAAUGGGUCAAGAAGCACCGGCUAACUACGUG
RNAcentral lists this ribosomal RNA (468 nucleotides) under uncultured bacterium. RNAcentral describes it as "partial 16S ribosomal RNA". It matches the Rfam family "Bacterial small subunit ribosomal RNA", at positions 28 to 507 of the family's 1533-position model. The record is from RNAcentral.